UACGGAGGGUGCAAGCGUUAAUCGGAAUUACUGGGCGUAAAGCGCACGUAGGCGGAUCAGCAAGUUAGGGGUGAAAUCCCGGGGCUCAACCCCGGAACUGCCUUUAAAACUGUUGGUCUGGAGGUCGAGAGAGGUGAGUGGAAUUCCGAGUGUAGAGGUGAAAUUCGUAGAUAUUCGGAGGAACACCAGUGGCGAAGGCGGCUCACUGGCUCGAUACUGACGCUGAGGUGCGAAAGCGUGGGGAGCAAACAGG
Molecule: ribosomal RNA, 253 nt
Filed under: uncultured bacterium
Lineage: Bacteria
Description: partial 16S ribosomal RNA
Rfam family: Bacterial small subunit ribosomal RNA
Source: RNAcentral